GGAUGUUAGGGCGAUCUGGUUGUGAUAUCUGUCACCCCAAUGAUCGCCAGGGUUGAGUCAGCUGAUUUUGCUGGCUAGGCAGGUGUCCUCUUCCUCCCUUACAGCUACAUUGUGUCCCUCCAAAAGGAUGACUUCCCCCAGUAGAGACAGAUUGCAUCUUUGGUCAAGGAUGUAUGAGUAGCUGUGCUACACUGCUAGAUCCUCCAACCAAGCUCUCAAACUAGUAGUCAUACUGUGGUGUCCUUGAACCACUUAAAUUGUUAGCAGCACUAGCUACAGAU
RNAcentral lists this small nuclear RNA (281 nucleotides) under Erinaceus europaeus (western European hedgehog). RNAcentral's name for it is "7SK RNA". It matches the Rfam family "7SK RNA". From Rfam's summary of the family: 7SK was discovered as an abundant small nuclear RNA in the mid-70s but a possible function has only recently been suggested. Lineage: Eukaryota; Metazoa; Chordata; Mammalia; Eulipotyphla; Erinaceidae. The record is from Rfam by way of RNAcentral.